Molecule: unclassified non-coding RNA, 1744 nt
Filed under: Hevea brasiliensis (rubber tree)
Lineage: Eukaryota; Viridiplantae; Streptophyta; Magnoliopsida; Malpighiales; Euphorbiaceae
Source: RNAcentral
CGAAGCUGUAAUAAGCGAACGUUCCCCCCUCCCCCCAAAAAAUAACCAGCCCUUAUUCUUUGAAACCCUAGUUUCUUUGUCGUCUCCUUCUGCCUCUCGGUUUCUCAAUCCUGUAAUCAGGGGCUCAAUUGGAGCUCUAUAGUAGCUCAAACAAGUUGAAUAUCUACUUCUGCAAUCUUUGUUUCAGGUAUAUUUUUGUGGCAGAGAAUAUGGAUGUCGAUAUUGAUCAUUAUAAUGUUUUAGGGCUACCUUCCGGGGAGGAGGGGGCUAAGCUUACAGAAAAGGAAAUAUCAAAAGCAUACAAGCUGAAGGCUUUAGAGUUGCACCCAGAUAAGAGACCAGAUGACCCAAAUGCCCAUGCCAAUUUUCAAAAGCUCAAGUCUUCAUAUGAGAUUCUCAAGGAUGAGAAAGCACGCAAAUUAUUUGAUGAUCUCCUCCGAGUUAAGCGGGAGAGGUAUGUUCGCGCAUCUCAAAAGGAUGCAAAGAGGCAAAAGAUGGUUUCUGAUCUUGAAGAAAGAGAGCGGGCUGCCUUUGCACCAGACCCUGUUGCCAGGGCUCGGGAGGAAGAGGAUAGGAUCACUAGGAAGCUUAAAGAAGAGAUAGCAAGAAUACGUGCAAUGCAUGCAAAUAAAAGAGCACCUGCAGCAUCUGCUUUAAAGAAAGAGACAGCAGGAGUGACGAAGGAGGGUGCGAGUAAUGUAGAUAGGGAGAAGAUGCUUAAGGUUUCUUGGGACAAUGGUGGUGAGGAUUAUACUUCAGAAAGGUUGAAAGAGUUGUUUUCAAGGUUUGGUGAGGUUGAAGAUGUGGUAAUCAGCAGUUCUAAGAAAAAGCGCUCUGCACUUGUUCAAAUGGCAACUAUAGAAGCAGCUAUUGCUGCUAUGGGAACUGUCUCUGGCAAUCUAUCUAAUCCUCUUCUAAUUGUACCUGUUAAACCAGCUACUGCAACAGAGCUUUCAAGUGUGCAGCAGUCCGCUGAAUCUGCUCGCCUAAAUAAUUUGGUUGGCACUGGUUAUAAAGCAUAUGAAGAUUCCGUCUUAGAGAAACUCCAAAAGGCUGCAGCAGCAAAAAAACCAAAAAUGACAUGCAACGGUAUUUUGAUGUUCAAUGGUGCAUUAAUGCCUGGAUCUUCCCCAGGCAAAAUGUAAAGGUAAUUAAGGAAUGAUGUGCUCCCUUAUGAUCCAACGUUCUCACUUUUUGCAUGAGCACGGUUUUGUACUUUCAAGCUUUGAUUACUGAAGUAGCCCUGCAAGUAUUAGACCAUUUGAGACAUCCUAUAUAACCAAGGGGAAUUGUGUCUCCAUUUCAAGCGUGUAAUGUGACGAACAAGGAACAGUUUUUCCAUGUGUUUGAAGCAUGAUUGCGGGGGGCAUUUUUAGAGUGUUUAUUAGGUUGUUUCCUGCAAAAUUUCUCUUAUAAUAAAAAAGGACCGAAGUAGAAACCAUUAAUUGCAAUGUUGACUGAUUUAGGUCUUGCUGUUGGAUUUGCAGAUCAGAUUAUUCUAUAGCCUUCCAGAUGACUGCUUCACGGGAGUUUGGCGACUCUUUUCAAUAUCUAAAAUUAUUACAAUUCUCCAUUUUUAUUGGUAUAAUUUGGUGAGUCAUUACCAUUGGGGGAGUUGGUAGUACUGAGACCAGGCUUUGGGUUGUAGACUGUACAUUAUGGGUAUCUAUUUUGGGAGAGUAACCCUCGCCUAUCACAUUUCAAAUGCUCAUGUAUCUUAGAUAGCUUUUUUUUUUUGGUGAAA